This 74-nucleotide ribosomal RNA is filed under the name Bacillus paralicheniformis. RNAcentral's name for it is "partial 16S ribosomal RNA". It matches the Rfam family "Bacterial small subunit ribosomal RNA", at positions 1 to 74 of the family's 1533-position model. Lineage: Bacteria; Bacillati; Bacillota; Bacilli; Caryophanales; Bacillaceae. The record is from RNAcentral.
UUCAUGGAGAGUUUGAUCCUGGCUCAGGACGAACGCUGGCGGCGUGCCUAAUACAUGCAAGUCGAGCGGACAGA